Molecule: ribosomal RNA, 621 nt
Filed under: Campylobacter jejuni
Lineage: Bacteria; Pseudomonadati; Campylobacterota; Epsilonproteobacteria; Campylobacterales; Campylobacteraceae
Description: partial 23S ribosomal RNA
Rfam family: Bacterial large subunit ribosomal RNA
Source: RNAcentral
AUACUCCGAGAACUGAAAGGCUUUUUGAAGUCUUCGGAUGGAUAGAAGAACCCCUGAUGCCGUCGAGCCAAGAAAAGUUUCUAAGUUUAGCUAAUGUUGCCCGUACCGUAAACCGACACAGGUGGGUGGGAUGAGUAUUCUAAGGCGCGUGGAAGAACUCUCUUUAAGGAACUCUGCAAAAUAGCACCGUAUCUUCGGUAUAAGGUGUGGUUAGCUUUGUAUUAGGAUUUACUCCGAAAGCAAGGAAACUUACAACAAAGAGUCCCUCCCGACUGUUUACCAAAAACACAGCACUCUGCUAACUCGUAAGAGGAUGUAUAGGGUGUGACGCCUGCCCGGUGCUCGAAGGUUAAUUGAUGGGGUUAGCAUUAGCGAAGCUCUUGAUCGAAGCCCGAGUAAACGGCGGCCGUAACUAUAACGGUCCUAAGGUAGCGAAAUUCCUUGUCGGUUAAAUACCGACCUGCAUGAAUGGCGUAACGAGAUGGGAGCUGUCUCAAAGAGGGAUCCAGUGAAAUUGUAGUGGAGGUGAAAAUUCCUCCUACCCGCGGCAAGACGGAAAGACCCCGUGGACCUUUACUACAGCUUGACACUGCUACUUGGAUAAGAAUGUGCAGGAUAGGU